ACCGCUUCGGCCCUCGCCUAUCCCCCAACGACGAUCCCCAAUUUCAGGCGUCGCCCAUCGCUGGGUGCUUCUCCGCCAUCGCCCGUAUAACCCCACCCAAUCCCUCGCUCGCUCGCCGGGAUCCAAGGCGGCCGCGGCGGCCGGGAGCAGACGUGCACGGGAGGAGUAGUUUGGGUCCGCGCCGCUGCCCUUUGCCUCUGCCACCAACGCCGCCUGCGCCGCCGCCCUUUGCCACCGCCACCAUCGCCAUCCGCGCCGCCGCCCUUUGUCGUCGCCACCACCGCCGUCCCCUUUGCCGCCACCACCACCGUCCAAACCGCUCUCGGCCGUUGCCGGGGAUCCCGGCCGCGCAGCAAAUCCAGCGCAAAGGAUCUCCAGGCCUGCCGCCCUGCCCGGCGCACCCAUCCAGAGGCACAUGUUCUCCACAGAUCCAUUAGAUCCCUUGCCGCCUCUCCUCUUUCCCUCGCUGGAGAAGCCUUUUUCAUCGUGGCUUGCCCUGGAUGCUAGAUUCUGCAAUUCCUCACCUGCAGUAUGGAAGUGCAUCUGCACCUGGGGCGCUAGCUGCUGAUGGCCAUAGAUAACAGCGACGUGUACGAGCAGAAGGCUUUUUCCUGAAGGGAUUGAGAUUACCAGGAUUCAGAUUGGAUCCCUGCUGUGUCAGUGCAGGAGAACUUCUCGAACACGUAAAACGACGGUGGCAUCAGGAUCCAUGAGAGCAGCUUAGGGGUUCUCCGGGGCGGCGCCAUGGUUGCUCCCGCGACGAGGACGCGGCACUCCCCUUCUGGUGCGGCGCACGAGGGAAGGAGGAGGGGAUCGACCCAAGACUGGGGCUGAGGCCGGCAGCGCCGUCCACACGAGCCUCACCGGCGGUGCCCUCUACACCUUCUCGCUCACCCCCGUCACUUUCUCGCUCACCACCGGCGUAGUAGUCAUCCUCGACGCCGUAAGGCACAAAUGGGCAUCCCGGCGGGAGUAGUCAUCCUUGACGCCGUCAGCUCUGUACAAGGCACCAAUCGUAUCUUCGACGGCCACAAGUUCUCCUACUAUGCCUCCGUCGCCUCCGCCAGCAUUGUUUGGCUGGCAAGGUCACGUCACCAGGGACUCCAUAUUCAUCGCCAAAGAACUCCGACUUCAGGAACAGAGUAGCAUGGCGGGGCUAGCAGCGACAAGUAGCAACAGCAGGGACGAGCUCAGGAGGAAUUGAUGCAGAGCAAGCUAGAGAACAUACAAAAAUACAAAGCAAAGCUUCACCGAAGUGCACGAAUUGUUUAAUAAGUACGGUUGCUGCAAUGAAUUAACGACCUAGGAGCUGUUUGGUCACAACGAGGUAAUUCAUUAUUCAGGUUUGUUCACAAUUAUUUAAUUUUCACUGUUUUGGAUCCUGUACUAUGCACAAUAUAAUUUGUAGAAUGUUUUAUCUUUGCAAAUAAGGGAAAUAAUGAUCCAAAAUUGGAGAAGAUGGUCAAAACCAAAUGUUUAUGUGAUUUGAUAUGAUGUACUUAGUAAUUAACUUUCCCUACCUACAUCUUUUAAAAGUGUCUAUAUCAUGUUUUCGUCAGCUCCGGCAUCUUCAAGAGCUUUGUCAUGCCCUAUUAUUUUCAAUUUAGUCUGUGUCCGCAUCAACUGAAUUCGGUCGGUUCAAUUCAAUUCAUCAAUUUUUUGUAUAUUUGAUGCAUUAUUAACCAUAGCAACGCACGGGCAUUUAUUUG
Molecule: long non-coding RNA, 1709 nt
Organism: Triticum dicoccoides
Lineage: Eukaryota; Viridiplantae; Streptophyta; Magnoliopsida; Poales; Poaceae
Exons: 3
Source: RefSeq, a predicted model, not a curated record